This is a long non-coding RNA of Dendrobium catenatum, 1082 nucleotides long. RefSeq lists it as uncharacterized. NCBI's taxonomy places the organism in Eukaryota, Viridiplantae, Streptophyta, Magnoliopsida, Asparagales, Orchidaceae. The transcript is spliced from 2 exons. The record is from RefSeq and is a predicted model, not a curated record.
GCACAAGAGCAAAAGGAUUAGCGCAUUAGUGAUUUACUUUUAUCGGUUUUGCUUCGCCGGGAAUCUAUUCUCUGCUGUCGCUAGCCUCGUAAUCCAUUCUUCUGUAAGCUUAUCUUCUCCUUCGAAAAUUUACGGAAGAAAUCAGAGGCUUCACAAAGUUUCUACUUUCCAUUUUUGCUCAGCCGGGCCAUAGUCAUGAGUUCGUUUGCUCGUUUAGAACAUCGAACAGAUGAGGAUCCUAAUGUAAUCGCCAUGAUCUCCUUCUUGCUUGCUUCUGUUUCAGGAGGAGCGCUCUUUCUGGAGAUGGAAGUUAAUUUCCAUGCUGGGCUGAUGAAGCUGGGGAUGAGGUCUAAUGCUCUAUUUAUAUGUUCGAACUGCAAAAGGUUAUUUUUGGGAGCAAUUGUAUACAUGAAGCUGCACGCAAUUUAUUUGAUAGAAUGUCUCAGAGAUGUUCUGUAUCCUGAAUGACCUUGAUGAAAGGUUUAUCAAGACAUGGAAUCCAAGAAGUUUGAUGCUUUUUGUAUGGUCAAGGAGAUGGAAGAGGCUAGUGAUUGCACCAAAUUCAUUGUACCUUUUCCUUCAGUCACUAUCUUCAGAAUUUGGUAAAUGGGAUCGGCCACUAGGGGAACUUUGAUAAGAAAAUCCGGGAAGGAAUGACCUAUAUUGGCCGCCUUGCUGGAAUAAGCAGAUCACUGUUGCUUUGUUUACUUGAUUUGAUUCUAAGUAUAGCAAAUUUUUGCAAAGCAACUUUAUUGUCUGGCCACUUUUCACAGCCUGCUUGAGUGGGAAAAGAUAGUGAAUUGCUAUAACAACUCAUUGCGCGCUUUAAGAUAUAUUAUGGUAUUCCUGCUAUCAUCCUCGUAAAGUGCUCAUGGUGGAUUCUUCUUUUGGUGUCGCUGCAGCUGAUAAGAUAUUGCAAAUAAUGUUACAGUAAUGGUUUUGUAAUGCUCAGAUUGAUUGGAAAACUACGUGUGUUAUCAGAAAUAAAGAGGAGUAAAUGCUUGGGCCGGUUAUUGAGAACACCAUGGGCAUAUGUAAAAAUGAAGCGGAAGAAUUAAAGAAAAAUUUUGUAAAAUUGUUCA